Non-coding RNA from Camellia sinensis, 1823 nucleotides. The record is from RefSeq and is a predicted model, not a curated record. Lineage: Eukaryota; Viridiplantae; Streptophyta; Magnoliopsida; Ericales; Theaceae.
UUAGAGAAAUAGAGAUGUAUGGGAUGGAAAUGCUCUCACACACAUUCUGUUUGGCCACCAAACCUCACCCCACAUCACCUCACCUCAGCGUAGACCACCGCAGAUCGCCACCGCCACCGCCGCAGAUCGCCACCGUCACCGCCGCAUCCUCACAGAUUCUCUCUCACUCUUGAUCUGUCUCUCUCCGUCACGCGCAUCUGUCUUUCUCUCUCUCUCUGUUUCUCGCUCUGUCGACCUUGUUCACUCUUUCUCCCUCUCUGUCCCCCUUUCUCUAUUACCCCCUUUCUGAAUCUUGCUCUAGGGCUGUUAUGAUUUCUUCAAUUUAAUUUGGUGUUGAUUUCCAAAAAUGGGUUUGGUUGAAGUGGUUUGAUUUGUAAAGUUUUAUGGGUUUGAUGUGCUAAAUGGGUUUGAUUUUAGUGAUUUCAUACAUUUUCCCUUAUUUUUCCUUUCUCUCUCGUUAGUUUCAAAGCCCUAAUCCAUUGAUUGCGUAUGAAUUUGCAUGUAUAUUUGGUCCCUCAUUGUGUAUGUAUGUAUUCAAAGCCCUAAUCUAUUGUAUUGGAAAACCUUCUUCUGGGGGGUUUUCACUCAUUAUUGGAAAUGUUUGUUUCCAUUAUUUUUUUUUUACCCUUUAUGUACUUAUUGUACAAUUCUUAUUCUUUUAUUUUUUUUAAGAUGUUGUAUGGUUCUGUGAAGUUCAUGGGAUGGAUGUAGUGACUGAAUCAGUUUCUUUUAUAACACUGAACUGAUGGAGGAAGUUGCAGUUGGAAGAAUUUUAACUACUAAAGAAAAUUAGCUAGAGACAGAAAUCAAGAACAAAAUGGAUCAAUGUGGCAGUGACAUUGUUUUAUUUUUGUGUAUAUAUAUUCCUUAUCCAUAGCUCUACCUUACAUGCAAAAUGCUUGCUUGAUUUAGUGGUAUUUAUUAGUUGAAGAAUUGGCUAAACACUGACAUUUUGUGCUAGUGGCAGAUUUCAGUCGUUCUUUGUAAUGCUGGAAAACCUUGUGGCUUGCAGUCAGUUUGUUUAUAUGGAGGAACUUCUAAAGGACCCCAGGUUCUAGAUGAAAUUGAUCGGAUGCUUGACAUGGGAUUUGAGCCAGAAGUUCGUUCUAUAUUGAGCCAGACAUGUUCUGUGGAAGAGAAAAUCAUGUUAAAUUAGACCCAAACAACUUCACCAAGUUUUCUAGCAAUUUUUUAGGUUAGAAAUUUGAUGCUACUGAAUUACAUGCUUCAUGAAUUCAUUGUGCAGAAUUGUGGUGUUAAGAUAUUGUAACAUACUAUCUCUGAGAGUAGCCUAUAUUUAUUAAGCUAUAGCUUGGAAAGAAUUGAGUAGAUUUUGACUUGGCAUCCAAAGUUUGCAUUACGAAUUUUCAUGGAAUCACUAUACAGUUGCAAAGUGCAAUCAUUUUAGGUCCAAACAUUUUUUCUUCCUCGCCUUGUUUUGAAAUUUGAUAAAAGAAACAAAAGUGUACAUUUUUGUUUUGAAAUUUGAGAAGAAAAAAAAAAAGUGUACAACGUGUAUUUGUUCUUUCUCACUACCCUCUGGCACAAUUGUUGAAGAUGUUGUGUAUGUUGAAGCAACUAACUCCACUACCGAGACUACUAAUGAUUAAUACUCUUAUCAUCCCCUCUCAAGCUAAUAGGUGAGGGUAACACCAUUAGCUUGUCCUUUAGCUAUAACUUUCUUGUUGACUUUUAAGAAAGGGGAAAGAAGGCACUAGGUUUUAGGAAAGAUUUUACUGGAUUGCAUAUAGUUAGGGAUCUUAUACCCUUAUGUUAAUUGAUCAUUUUAAUACUAAUUAGAUAUAGGACAAAUGAAGGGUGUU